AUGUUGGACAUCUCCGUGGGGAGCUCGCCGGACAGCGCGUUCCUCGACACGUUCAGCGUGCACAGGAUCUUCAGCGACGUGAUGCUCUCCGGUAUCGCGCCGGUCAGGCGGUUGCGGCUGACGUCGACUGCGGCGAGCGACGCGCAGCGCGUCAGCUCCUGCGGGAUCGCGCCGGUGAGAUGGUUCCCGCUGACGUUCAGCCGGGACAGGUUCCUGAGCCGGCCGAUCUCCGGCGGCAGCUCGCCGGAGAAGUUGUUGGACUCGAGCGAGAGCGUCUGCAGCGCGGGGAGGUUGCCGAUGGCCGCCGGAAUCCUGCCGCCGAUCCCGUUGUUCCCCAGCAGCAGCAUGCCGAUCUUGCCGCCGCCGAUCACGUCGGGGAGACCGCCGGUGAGCAGGUUGUCGGUGAGCUCCAGCAUGUUGGCCUGCGGCAGGUCGAAGAGCCCGGCCGGCACGGCGCCGCUGAGGAAGUUCUUGCUGAGCCGGACGCGCACCAGCGUCUUGCACGCGCCGAGCGACUCCGGGAUGGGGCCGAAGAAGGCGUUGUCCAUGAGCACGAGCGUCUCGAGCCUCCCGCCGGCGCAGAGCUCCGGCGGCACGGUGCCGGUGAGGUGGUUGGUGGUGACGUCGAGGUUCCUUAGCCGGCCGUUCCUCCCGAGCCCCGGCGGGAGGCUGCCGGUGAGGUUGUUCUCCCAGAGCUGCAGCACCUCCAGGUCCGGCAGCUCGGCGACGAACGCCGGUAUCCCGCCGCGGAGGUGGUUCCGGAACAGGUUGAGCAGCCGGAGGUGGGUCAGCUUGGCGAGGCUCGCCGGUAUCUCGCCGGCGAGGUCGUUGACGGACAGGUCGAGCGACUGGAGGCUCUGGAGCUCGCCGAGCUCCGUCGGAAUCUCGCCGGAGAGGCGGUUCCAGAGGAGGAAGAGCGUGUCGAGGUUCUUGAGCUUGCCGAGCUCGGGCGGGAUGGGUCCGGUGAGGUUGCAGCUGCUCAUGUCGAGCAGCACGAGGCUGCGCAGCCCGCCGAACUCGGGCGGCACGCCGCCGUCGUACUGGUUGAAGUACCCCACGUAG
This 1062-nucleotide ribosomal RNA is filed under the name Triticum aestivum (bread wheat). RNAcentral's name for it is "partial small subunit ribosomal RNA". The record is from RNAcentral. Lineage: Eukaryota; Viridiplantae; Streptophyta; Magnoliopsida; Poales; Poaceae.